GACGAACGCUGGCGGCGCGCUUAACACAUGCCAGUCGAACGGAAAGGCCUGCUUUCCCUUGUGGAUUGCGGGUACUCGAGUGGCGAACGGGUGAGUAACACGUGAGUGAUCUGCCCCCAACUUGGGUAUAAGCCUGGGAAACUGGGUCUAAUUCCCGAUAGGACUGCAGGGUGGUGCCUGUGGUGGAAAACGAUUUUCUAGUGGUUGGGGAUGAGCUCGCGGCCUAUCAGCUUGUUGGUGGGGUAAUGGCCUACCAAGGCGGCGACGGGUAGCCGGCCUGGGAGGGUGGACGGCCAUAUUGGGACUGAGAUACGGCCCAGACUCCUACGGGAGGCAGCAGUGGGGAAUAUUGCACAAUGGGCGGAAGCCUGAUGCAGCGACGCCGCGUGGGGGAUGACGGCCUUCGGGUUGUAAACUCCUUUCGACCGCGAGGAAGCCACCUGGUUGGAAGGGUGGUGACGGUAGUGGUAGAAGAAGCACCGGCUAACUACGUG
RNAcentral lists this ribosomal RNA (494 nucleotides) under uncultured bacterium. Its description in RNAcentral is "partial 16S ribosomal RNA". It matches the Rfam family "Bacterial small subunit ribosomal RNA", at positions 28 to 507 of the family's 1533-position model. The record is from RNAcentral.